RNAcentral lists this long non-coding RNA (542 nucleotides) under Homo sapiens (human). RNAcentral describes it as "HSALNT0342297". Lineage: Eukaryota; Metazoa; Chordata; Mammalia; Primates; Hominidae. The record is from RNAcentral.
CUCCGGGGGUGGCCCCGGGACCGCCGCGGCUUCUUCCCCGUCCGCCGACUUCAGCUCUGACUCCCCACAACCCAUCAUCAUCUUUGGAGGAAGUGCUGUGGAACAUCAGAUAGAAUGGAUAGCACAGCCCAAAUUUUACAAAAAGGAUUUUAAAGGAAGAUCUCAAUGGUGGAACACUAGAGGCUUUCCUGCUAAAGUUAAGAACAAGCAAAGGCUGACGCAGUUUUGGCAUGCAGGAAGUGUUGGAGCUGAGACUCGAAACUGUCCCCCAGGCCUUGGCCAUGCUGAUAAAUAUCUAGGCCCUACAGGAGUUCGUGUCCAUGAACCCAGUAAACGCAAUUCCUCAGCCUUAAAAUCUAGUCACUGACUCAUUUCAGGCCCCAGCACAGACGAAAACAAGCCAUUCUGUUUGCCCAGUUUACAUUGCGGGUCUCCAAGAAGUGGAAUGUUCACCAAUGAUUUUAAGAAAACAGGGCCUGGCGCGGUGGCUCACGCCUGUAAUCCCAGCACUUUGGGAGGCCGAGGCAGGCAGAUCACCUGAG